CUCGUGUUUUCGUCGAAUCACGACGUGAGAAAAUGACUCGGGAGCGACCUCUCGCAGCGACACCCUCACGUCGCUCUCGAACCGGUCCAGGUAAGUUUUCUAACUCUAAACCCCGGUUUAAUUCAAGUAAACCGACCCUAACCACCCUAGACCGAACCGGACGACCCUAAACCUACCCCCAACCCCCGCGAAUCCAUCUCUCUCACUCUCCCCUCCUCUCACAAACUCUCAAACUCUCUCAAAC
This 244-nucleotide long non-coding RNA is filed under the name Brassica napus (rape). RNAcentral describes it as "long non-coding RNA (BNAP_LNC013591)". Lineage: Eukaryota; Viridiplantae; Streptophyta; Magnoliopsida; Brassicales; Brassicaceae. The record is from RNAcentral.